RNAcentral lists this ribosomal RNA (436 nucleotides) under uncultured bacterium. Its description in RNAcentral is "bacterial SSU rRNA". It matches the Rfam family "Bacterial small subunit ribosomal RNA", at positions 43 to 472 of the family's 1533-position model. The record is from RNAcentral.
GGCGCUUAACACAUGCAAGUCGAGCGAGAACCAAGCCUUCGGGCUUGGGGACAGCGGCGAACGGGUGAGUAACACGUGGGUAAUCAACCCUCGACACUGGGAUAGCCCAGGGAAACCCGGAUUAAUACCGGAUACCCCAUCUGGCCUUCGGGCCGGCUGGAAAAGGUAGCUUUGGCCCCCGGUCGAGGACGAGCCCGCGGCGGAUUAGCUUGUUGGCGGGGUAAAAGCCCACCAAGGCGACGAUCCGUAGCUGGUCUGAGAGGACGAUCAGCCACACUGGGACUGAGACACGGCCCAGACUCCUACGGGAGGCAGCAGUGGGGAAUCUUGCGCAAUGGGCGAAAGCCUGACGCAGCGACGCCGCGUGAGGGAAGAAGGCCUUCGGGUUGUAAACCUCUUUCAGGAGGGACGAAGCCACUCGGGUUAAUAGCCCAGA